GAUGAACGCUGGCGGCGUGCCUAAUACAUGCCAGUCGAGCGAACAGACGAGGAGCUUGCUCCUCUGACGUUAGCGGCGGACGGGUGAGUAACACGUGGAUAACCUACCUAUAAGACUGGGAUAACUUCGGGAAACCGGAGCUAAUACCGGAUAAUAUAUUGAACCGCAUGGUUCAAUAGUGAAAGACGGUUUUGCUGUCACUUAUAGAUGGAUCCGCGCCGCAUUAGCUAGUUGGUAAGGUAACGGCUUACCAAGGCAACGAUGCGUAGCCGACCGGAGAGGGUGGUCGGCCACACUGGAACUGAGCCACGGUCCAGACUCCUACGGGAGGCAGCAGUAGGGAAUCUUCCGCAAUGGGCGAAAGCUUGACGGAGCAACGCCGCGUGAGUGAUGAAGGUCUUCGGAUCGUAAAACUCUGUUAUUAGGGAAGAACAAAUGUGUAAGUAACUAUGCACGUCUUGACGGUACCUAAUCAGAAAGCCACGGCUAACUACGUG
RNAcentral lists this ribosomal RNA (497 nucleotides) under uncultured bacterium. RNAcentral describes it as "partial 16S ribosomal RNA". It matches the Rfam family "Bacterial small subunit ribosomal RNA", at positions 28 to 507 of the family's 1533-position model. The record is from RNAcentral.